Non-coding RNA from Misgurnus anguillicaudatus (oriental weatherfish), 2819 nucleotides. The record is from RefSeq and is a predicted model, not a curated record. Lineage: Eukaryota; Metazoa; Chordata; Actinopteri; Cypriniformes; Cobitidae.
GAAAUGUUACAAAAGGGUCCGCCUUUACCUUUGCUCUCGCGUUACUCUGAUGUCAUACGCCGAUCAGUCAGCUCCGCACCAGUCGAACACACAAAGCGUCAAAGUCUGGAUGAAAAGCAGAGACCUGCCCGGAUUCCACGCACGCAGAUACCCUCAGAAAACAGCUAUUUUAAUCAACCAUCACUCGCGUGUGCAUGUUUGCAAGCAGUACAAGCCUGCGUGAUGUUUGCGGUGACAGGUUUUAAUAAAAGAGAAAAAAGUCAAUUGAUAUUUGACAUCUAUAAACAAUAAUAUAUACGAAAUAUAAUUAUAUGGUCUUGACAUACACAUUAUCUGUUGCUUUAGUUUAAUAUUAAACUACUCAUUUGGUUUAUUUGAUUGUGACAGUCCCUCUAUCACCAAUCACAAAUCAUCACUUUACGCUUCUCUUUCUCAGUGGAUAAACUGAAUCAAAGCUGCUGUUAUCUGCAGUUAUACAUUUUACAGAGACCAGUAGCCUAUUCAUUAGAUUUUAACUGAACUUUUUUGGCACUUUUAUCAGAAGGAAAGCAUAAUAGAAGUGUAUAAAAUAAUAGUAAAGACUCUAAUCCCAGGCAUUUAAAUUCAGUAAAAGCUUUUAUUUCAAUUUAAUUUCUAAAAUAUGAUUCGAUUUGUAUUGUGAACCAUUUUAACGCAGUCUUUCCCAACUAUUUAACACAGAAAUAGCUAAAAUCCACACUAUUAUCAAUUGGCAAAUGGUUAGGACUUAUAUAAAAAAUUAUUACCACAAACCCCCACCCCCCAAAAAAAAUCUCACUCCAAGCUGAACUCAGAAGUUGGCAGCUCUGCAGACUUUUAAAAGCCUUAAGAUCAGCACCAGUGUAUGGGGAUAUCCCGUUUACCACAUAGUGGUAAAAAUCAUGCGGGCUGAAGUCGGGCAGACUCGGCGUUUAAUGAGGUCCGUGAAAAUUGAAGGAGGAAGAAGGUAAGGGUCGGUAUCCAGUCCCGCUAUCUCUAACUUCUCUAAAUAGCGCUUUUUGUGAGGACCUACCAAAUGCCCUACCUCGACCGAUAACGGCACAACAACUUCCUUAAUAUAAGAAGCCAUGUAUUUUAGUGUAAUAUAUAUUUAAACUGUUUAAAACUAAUCAAAAAUCCCGCUCGUCUAUUACUAAUCAACCUAGUGCGUCAGUGAUUUUGCCGUCCAGCAUGGCGUCGUCACGUGGUCUAGGUCACGUGUUUGCAAAGGGUCUAUUGAGAUGGGUCUGUCUGCGGACCGCAAGACAGGGGCGUGACGUUAAGGGGCGUAACUUUUAGCAGGGGGCGUAACUUUAAGUUGUCCAAGUUACACAGAACCACGCGAGACGUCAGGACGAGAUGUUGUCAUUCUGUCUUCUCUUCUGCCCGCAUAGAGAUACGGUGGCUAAAGGCGUUAUUAAAGUUGCUCAUCCAAGCGCCCUCAUGUUUGUUCGUACCAAUUUUAAUGGACGGGAAGCCGACUGACGAACAUCCUUUUCCCGAGAAAUGGUUCGGCUACGACACAUGUUAAGAAGUCACGCCAGGGGCUGAAUUAAGGUCGACCGUUUCAGCUGCAUUGAUGUGAAGUGAUGCAGUGGACAACUUGUGAGGGUGAUACCAUCCACAUGCACCUUAACUGUCUGUGAUGCAGAAAUACAAUAGGAUGAUCCAUCUGUCUACACUUCAAAAUCACAACUCAACCUUAAACAACCCAUAUCUGUUAUGGUAAAACAAUGUGGUGGUUUUCCAGACAGGGCUUAUACUGUUCCCGGGCUAAAAUGCAUGUUUGAGCUACUGUAAUUAAGAAAACACCUUGUACUGACACAUCUCAACAUAUAUCAGUGCCAUUGUUUUGUUUCAAGAUGCACACCAGUCUUGUUUUUGUAAGGUUUGUUUGUAAAAACUAAAAUGUUCUAAUAUAAGUGCCCAGUCCUGGUUUAAUCUAAACCAUUGGUGACCAAACCUGUGUCUUGAGAUCUACUGUCCUGCAGAGUUCAGCUCCAAUCCCAAUCAAACACACCUGAACCUGCCAAUCAAGCAUUUCAGGGGAACCUUAAAAUUAUAGUCAGGUGUGUUUGUUAAAGCUGGGUUAGAACUAAAAUAUGCAGGAGGGUAGAUCUCCAGGAACAGGGUUGGUCACCCCUGAUCUAAACAAAGGGUUUCCAAACUGUGUCCUGCAAAGUUUAGCUCUAACCCUAAUCAAACACACCUGAAGCAGCCAAUUAAGGUCUUACUAAGCAUACUAGAAACUUACUGGCAGGUGCUCUGAUGCAAGUUAGAGCUAAACUCUGCAGGACACCGGCCCUCCAGGACUGAGUUUGGGCACCCCUGACUAAGCCCUGCCUGGGAAACUGCACCAAUGUGUUGAGCUGGCACCAUUGUACAUUACUGCUGCUGAGAAACAACCACAUUUCUCAGCUCUACACAGGGUUGACAUUGGAUGCAUUAUUAUUAUAAAAUGCAUUCAUGUGCACUUUACCAAUACUGUACAUACAUCAACAGCUUCCAGCUAUACACUUGAGAUCAGCUCCUGAUGCCUCUCAUAAUGCUGUGUUAUAAUUUAUUGCAGGGUGAUCUUGCUGAAAGGAUAUUUUUAUAAACCUUUACAAUGUCACCAGAUGUUACCUGUUGUGAAUAAUUAUUUUAUAAACCUUUACAAUGUCACCAGAUGUUACAUGUUGUGAAUGGUUAUUUUUAUAAACCUUUACAAUGUCACCAGUUGUUACAUGUUGUGCAUAGUUAUUUUUAUAAACCUUUACAAUGUCACCAGAUGUUACCUGUUGUGAAAAGUUAUUUUUAUAAACCGUUACAAUGUCACCAGA